RNAcentral lists this small RNA (449 nucleotides) under Vigna angularis var. angularis. RNAcentral describes it as "Non-protein coding transcript". Lineage: Eukaryota; Viridiplantae; Streptophyta; Magnoliopsida; Fabales; Fabaceae. The record is from RNAcentral.
CGCAAGAAAGUGCCUCACAAUAUUAAAUUUAUACAUUAAGUUAAGCCUCUUGGAAACAUUUAAUUCCAAUUACAACAUAAUUUACCAAAUAACAUUCAAUCAUAAUACUUUGAGUCAAUAAUGUAGUUCAUUUUUAACCAGCAGCUUAGGAAGAUUUUGUCUUGGACCAAGGCUAUGGCUGGUCCUAAUGAAACCCCGUCGGAAUCGCGAGCAAAGAAUGCGGCGAGGGGAGUGAUGGAGUAGAGCCUGUGAAAGGUGGGAGGGACAAGGUUGUCGGAAACGAGAGAAGAGUGAAGAAUGGAGUGAGAGGAAAGAAGAAUGAGGAGACGAUCUAGCAUUGAGGCUGCUUCUGGGUUGGUGCAGGAAAUCUUGGAUGCUAUGUCCUUUGCAGAGAGCUUAGCAGCUUCACCCGCUUCUUUCAGCACCUCAAACACACCCAGCUCCGUCGC